UACGACUACAUAUCAGGCAUAUCAAUAAGCGGAGGAAAAGAAACUAACUAGGAUUCCCUUAGUAACGGCGAGUGAAGCGGGAAGAGCUCAAAUUUGAAAUCUUCAAGGUUUUACCUUGACGAAUUGUAGUUUAAAGAAGUGUUUUCUGUUGGUGUUUUGGUAAAAGUUCUUUGGAAUAGGACAUCAUAGAGGGUGAGAAUCCCGUAUUUGACCAUUACUUCCAGCGUUGUGAUACACUUUCAAAGAGUCGGAUUGUUUGGGAAUGCAGUCCAAAAUGGGUGGUAAAUUUCAUCUAAAGCUAAAUAUUGGCGAGAGACCGAUAGCGAACAAGUACCGUGAGGGAAAGAUGAAAAGAACUUUGAAAAGAGAGUUAAACAGUACGUGAAAUUGUCAAAAGGGAAGCGUUGGACACCAGUGUUGUUUUCUCGAAAAUCAAUUAAAAAUAGUUGGAUUUUGUAUUGUGAUGACUUUAUCAGCUUCCUGUACUUUUUUCUUACUAUUUUUAAUGCACUUUUCGUUUAACAAGUCAACAUCAAUUUCUUUUGUUGUAAAAGAGUCAUUGGAAGGUGGCUUUUCACUUCGGUGAAAGUGUUUAUAGCCUUUGGCUUCUGCAAUCGGAGAGAUUGAGGUCUGCAGCGUAGAUCCUUCGGGGUUAGAUACAUUGGUGCUAAGCUAUAGCCUUGUAUAGACAACUUGUUGACUAUGAUUAAGUCAUGUAGCUUACUCGCUGAUGCUAUUUUACCUACGCUUAGGAUGUUGAUCUCUCACAGUCGAGC
This 776-nucleotide ribosomal RNA is filed under the name uncultured Neocallimastigales. RNAcentral's name for it is "partial large subunit ribosomal RNA". It matches the Rfam family "Eukaryotic large subunit ribosomal RNA", at positions 24 to 645 of the family's 3401-position model. Lineage: Eukaryota; Fungi; Neocallimastigomycota; Neocallimastigomycetes; Neocallimastigales. The record is from RNAcentral.